GCCAUUCUUCCGCCUCAGCCUUCCAAGUAGCUGGGACUACCGGCGCCCGCCAUCGCGCCCAGCUCAUUUUUUUGUAUUUUUAGUAGAGAGGGGGUUUCACCGUUUUAGCCAGGAUGGUCUCGAUAUCCUGACCUUGUGAUCCGCCCGCCUCGGCCUCUCAAAGUGCUGGGAUUACAGGCGUGAGCCACCGCGCCCGACCUAUUGGUUUCUUUUUUUGACACGGAGUCUCACUCUGCCACCCAGGGUGGAGUGCAGUGAUGCAACGUCUCCCUCUUGGGUUCAAGCAAUUCUCCUGCCUCAGGCUCCCAAGUAGCUGGGAUUACAGAAAACUCUUGAGUUCUCCCUGAAAGGAGACUAAAGAACAAUCCUCUGCAGAUGUGUCUGAAUCCUAAAAUGAACUUAAGUCAAGCAUGAUCCCUAAGGCUGCUCAGGGAGAGAGAACCUAGAAACCUGGCAUGCUGGCAAAAGGAGACCAUCAAGCUUCAGAUGAUCAUGCAACAAAAGUCCCAGCUAGUUCCAGGUGAAGACAACACACCUGGCCUUCAAAAAGCUACUCUGCCUCCACUAGAGAGAACAGGGCGAGAGUUCCAUGAUCCCCAGUAGAGUCUCACUCUGUGUCACAGGCUGAAGUGCAGUGGCACAAUCUUGGCUCACUGCAACCUCCACCUCCCGGGUUCAAGUGAUUCUCCUGCUUCAGCCUCCGGAGUAGCUGGGACUACAGGAUGAAAACUAUAAAUCAUUCGCUUUCCCAGAGUGAAGUUUGACUUAUUCCUGUGGCCAACAUGGCUUAUGGACACCAAGGACAAAUAAGUCAGAAUAACUUGAUGGAAAAGACCUUCAGCGAUAACUACAUAGUUUUCAUCUCUUGUAUGAACAAAGUGUUAAAUUUUCUCUACUAUCAAUUCUUUAGUGAUAUAUUGGCUAUGAUUUUUUUCUGUUCCAUGAUAUAUAUUAUUUUAUCAUAUAAUAUACAUUGAUAUAUGAAUUGAUUAAGGUCAGGGAUUUAUACCAAGAUAAUAAUUUGUUCUAAAAACUAUAUGUUCAGUUUUUAUCAUUAAAAACAUUUUAAAUAAUAACUAAUUCUCAUUUGUAGUCAAUAAGUGGCACAUGCAUAAUCAUAUGGCAAAGAUAUAUUUUUGUUUGGUGCUGUAGGUACAAAUUACAGUUUGAUCUUUCAUACUUUAUGAAAACAAUGGUAUAAAUAGAUAUAUGGUUCAUAUUGCAGUUGAAUAUAAUAUUUAUUCAAUAACAUUUAUUAAUGAUAUUUCAGGAAGUAUUUCUCAUAUUUUAAUGUAUACAUGAACCACAUGGUAUCCUCUUAAAAAAGCAAAUUUUGGUUCAGUUUUUAGAAGAUGGAGCUAAGAUUUUUUCAUUUCAAACUGCUUUGUGAUCCGCUGAUCUCAGUUUCAGUAGCAAAUUUAAAAAUAUGUAUGCUUCUGGAUUUUAAUAGAUAACUGAAAUAAAACAAAAUAUUUUUCAGUA
Molecule: long non-coding RNA, 1482 nt
Filed under: Homo sapiens (human)
Lineage: Eukaryota; Metazoa; Chordata; Mammalia; Primates; Hominidae
Description: novel transcript
Source: RNAcentral